CCUACGGGGGGCAGCAGUUAGGAAUAUUGGGCAAUGGAGGAAACUCUGACCCAGCAACGCCGCGUGAAGGAAGAAGGUUUUCGGAUUGUAAACUUCUGAUCUGUGGGAAGAAGAAAAUGACGGUACCUGAGUAAGAAGCCCCGGCUAACUACGUGCCAGCAGCCGCGGUAAUACGUAGGGGGCAAGCGUUAUCCGGAUUUACUGGGUGUAAAGGGAGCGUAGACGGCAGUGCAAGUCUGGAGUGAAAGGCGGGGGCUCAACCCCCGGACUGCUCUGGAAACUGUACGGCUGGAGUGCAGGAGAGGUAAGUGGAAUUCCUAGUGUAGCGGUGAAAUGCGUAGAUAUUAGGAGGAACACCAGUGGCGAAGGCGGCUUACUGGACUGUAACUGACGUUGAGGCUCGAAAGCGUGGGGAGCAAACAGGAUUAGAUACCCUUGUAGUC
Molecule: ribosomal RNA, 443 nt
Filed under: uncultured bacterium
Lineage: Bacteria
Description: partial 16S ribosomal RNA
Rfam family: Bacterial small subunit ribosomal RNA
Source: RNAcentral